AGAACUUCCUUUUAUUUGUUUUAAACCUGCUGCCCAUUAAUUUAAUUUGGUGGCCCCUGUUUCUUAUAUUAUAGAAACCUACAUGGGAAAUAGAAAUUUGAUAAUGGAGGGCUCUUCAAGCUAGCAGAUGAAGGUAUAACAAGAUCCAAUGGAUGAAAAUUGAAACUAGACAAAUUCACAUUAGAAGAAAGGCAUAUUUUUUUUUAUCAGUGAGAGUAAUUAACCAUAGGAACAAUUUACCAAAGGUUGUGGUGGAUUCUCAAUCACUGGAAAUUUUUAAAUCAAGCUAGGAUGGGUUCCUUAAGGAUAUGCUGUAGUUCCAACAGGAAUUAAUUCAAUUAAGUUUUAUGGCCUGUGUAGUACAGGAGGUCAAACUAGAUGAUCACAGUGGUCACUUCUGGCCACAUAAUCUAUUAACACUUAUGCGUGAAGUUAGCUAUCUAACACUGAAAGGUAAUGAAAUGCAUGCUGUGACAUACAUUUUUUCUUUAGUUUCUUCAGUUUCAUUCUCAUUGGAAGAGAAUAAUACAAAUUAAUCUAACUGGUAAUCAUUAGAGGCAGUGAGAGAUUAGUGUGAAUUCUUUAAUUGCCUGGAGGAAGGAAGGAGCCCAACCUUGUUUGUUUGUUUUUUGCAUUCCAUACUGCCAACAGUGUGCUAGGUACUGCCCAUGUGUGCAGGAGGCCAAAGGGUCCGGUCCAAAGAGCUUGCAGAAGAAGCUCAAUGUCUCUAUGAAGACAAACAUACAAACAGUAGUGGGAAGGAAAGCAUCCAAUCAUGAGUAGUCUGGAAGAAAGUAUCAGCCCACCAUUUCUGUUGUGAGUGCAUUUUUUUGCACACACAUGUGUGUUCUCACAAGUGUAUGGUGCUUAUCAAGUAGUCAGUCACCCAGUAGUUAGUAUUUGCAUCUGCAACACAUUGCCCAGUAGGUCAAAACAUAGCUAUAGUUCUUCUAGUAUAAUUAGCUAGGCAGGUAGCAGAAUGUUUGAACCUAGCCUCAGAACCUGGAAGAACCGUUGUCUUGUUCUGAGGCAGGCCAAGGACUCUGUAUUACCACAUUGCAACCCUCUCACACCAAGUGCUUGGUUUUGAGGCCCUUCUCUGGACUUCAUCCUUCAGAUGGUAAUCUCCUGUAAUCAGCCUACUCCAGCCUUCAAUUUGGUAGCUCUGUAUGGCUCCUGUUGUAAGAGAGUUCUCUCUGCACCAGCAGCAACUAAAUUUUUUGAUCAGCCAGGAUUUUUAUAGCUUUGAAAAAUCCCAGAAACUAUUAUAAACCUUUCCCCUUCCACAGAGGAUCACCCUCGGCCUUCUUAUUUCAGGAUUCCUCUAAUGAAGCUGUUCUAAAACCAGCCUCUUAUCAGGUUUGCCUUCUUCCUUAGUUAUGAAUUUAAGUACCAGCAAAUAGCUCUUUCCCCCCUCAUCCUAGUACAGUCAGGCAUCCUUUAUGGAGACUCUACUUCUGCUGCAACCGUUCUUUGAUACGUGGGGGAGGGGUGCCUGAUGGAACAUGAGAGCUCUGGGAACAGAAAUUCCGCUAUCCAAGUAUGCAGAAAAUAGGCUGGGCCAGGAAAAGAAACCUUCACAAGCACUCAUACGCCCCUUCACAUACCCCAUAGCUAUAUAUGCUGAGCCCAUUAAACCUAUCCUGUCCUUGCCUGUUGCUGUGCACCCACACCUUUCAAAGGCUCUGUAUGUUUUUUCCCCUGUUAAGCUGAAAUUAAAGAAGGUUCUUAAGUUUAACCACAUUUGCUUUAACUAGUGUCUGUGGAAAAGGCUAUGAUGCAACACCACUGCUUGUAGCAGUGCUUCUCUCCCCCAGUUGGAGAUGGAGUGUUCAUUCUUUCACCGAUCCCAAACUACAGUGGCUUCUGCAGUUUAAUACUCAAACUAUACUGGCACAGAAAACGUCUUUUUUUUAAUAGUCAAAACAACAUUCAAAAGGAUUAAGUAGGUCGAUUUUAGACACAAGUCUUACAGAAAGUGAAAAGUCAUCAUUAAUGUACGUUUUAUGUAGGAAAAAGAAUGUGUGUGUGAUGGGGGGAGAGUUUCAGUGACUUGAUCGUUAUUUACUUGUGAGGAUUUAAUAUCCGUUCUCAUUCUCAAGAAGGACCUUAGCUUUGUGAUAUUUAAGAAAACAAAAAUCAUCUCCCAUAGAUUCAAAUUGUCAUGAAUAAUUGAUUAAUAAUAAUCCAAUUCUGAAAAUUAAAUAGCCUAAAAUAUGCCCAUGUUUUACAGAUAGAAAGGUCAUUGCUAUCCAUCAUUUCUCUGCUUCAAUUGCCUCUUUCUCCUCUACUAAACAGCAUCCUGCAUAAGGGUUCUUCUCUUGGGAAAGGGAUACUUCAUCCAUCUCUGGGGGGAUAAACUACCAUUUACAUUGUGGUGCCCACUAUCUUAAUUAAAGAAAAGGAGUGAACUAUUACAGUGAAGUGGAGAAAAGAGUUUGGCACCCAAAAGACUGAUGACCUACCAAAUAUUAAGAUUGCUCACAAAGUGCAUACUUUUGAAAUCACCAUAUUUCAAAAUGUUGAGCAUAAGCUAAUCCUUUCAGCACUACAUAAGGAUGAAUAAUGUGACCUAUUGUGACAGUUUUCAGCCAGCAGAAGAUAGCAUUGUGUUCCCAGUAGAGCUGAAUUUGCACAAGUUACACCUCUGAAAAUGCCAGAUGGUCUAUGGUCUACUUUUGAGAGCUGUCACAUAUGUAAAGAUUUGAAAAAAGAAAGACAGCUGAAUGAGAGCAGUGGAUCAUUAAAGGAAGAGUGAGGGUCCCUGGGUAUCACUGUGUUUUAAGAAGCAUUGUGUCAUUUCCCAUAUUACUUUUUUUUUUUUUAAGAUAUACACAACCUUUUUUUUAA
Long non-coding RNA from Mauremys reevesii (Reeves's turtle), 2850 nucleotides. RefSeq lists it as uncharacterized. Lineage: Eukaryota; Metazoa; Chordata; Testudines; Geoemydidae. The transcript is spliced from 3 exons. The record is from RefSeq and is a predicted model, not a curated record.